RNAcentral lists this long non-coding RNA (440 nucleotides) under Rattus norvegicus (Norway rat). RNAcentral's name for it is "long non-coding RNA NONRATT013862". The record is from RNAcentral. Lineage: Eukaryota; Metazoa; Chordata; Mammalia; Rodentia; Muridae.
AAGCAGCUAUCGAGAGCUGUCUUCAUAACCACAGGGGAAAGCCGAGGGUCUCUGGAUUCCACCGUGUUUUCUCUGCAUAAAUAAUCUCACAAGCUUUGAGAGGAAAGUAAAGCACAUGCCAGUGGGUCUUCAAAUCAAUGUGGUGGCGUGUUACAACUGCACCAAGUUAUUUACUACUGAAACUAUUUAAUAACCAAUACCGUAUCGAAGAGCUCCUAGCACACUCUGGUGGCAUGUGUGAAGCUUGUUUUGCUGAGUUGUGCAGAAGAGUUCUGCUCCACUGAUGACCUGGUACACGAACAUGCAGCAUCUUCUCGGCACCCUGAGUUAAUCCAUUUAUUUGUCUCUCUUCAUCGUCCCAGAAACAGUGUAUUUCUAUGGUCGGCCUUAAGAUGCUAGCAACUAGACUGCUAGAAAUAAAAUAGUAACGGCCUAACAAU